UUAACGCAAAUUUGUAUGGAAUUGGAACGUUCGCCUACUUUGCCGCUAGGGGCGCUGUUUCAACUGUAUACGAAUUUGAGUUA
This 83-nucleotide microRNA precursor is filed under the name Bombyx mori (domestic silkworm). RNAcentral describes it as "mir-2807 microRNA precursor family". It matches the Rfam family "mir-2807 microRNA precursor family". The record is from Rfam by way of RNAcentral. Lineage: Eukaryota; Metazoa; Arthropoda; Insecta; Lepidoptera; Bombycidae.